Long non-coding RNA from Thamnophis elegans (Western terrestrial garter snake), 983 nucleotides. RefSeq lists it as uncharacterized. The transcript is spliced from 2 exons. The record is from RefSeq and is a predicted model, not a curated record. Lineage: Eukaryota; Metazoa; Chordata; Lepidosauria; Squamata; Natricidae.
GAAAGCGACGGGAAGCGUAGAAGAAAGAAAGUCCAGUUGCCUUUUGAAAAAAAGCACCUUUGGGAACAGCUGAACUUCCUCUUCCGGAUCACUCAUGGGAGGAGAGUGGUGUGCAGAGCGGUUUUUUUGCUCUUCUCAUGAUCGAAGCAGCAGCUGGAAGACGACCAGGAGGGCAAUAAGAGCACUCUGGACAACUUAAAUAACAAUCAGUGGUGAAAAGGGAAGAAAAUCAAGGCAGAAAUCAAAAUAUUUUCCAUUUCCUGAAGAAAAUCAUACAAAUCUGCUCCUCCUCCAGCAGCUGACAAAAGAGAGAAAAUUGAGAAAGAAUAAGCAGAUUAUGCAGAACUCAAGGAUAAAUUGAAUGAGAGGUGAACGGAGAUUUUAUAUCAUUCAGCAAAAGAGGGAUAUUAUCUGGAAGUCCGUGGGGAGGAAAACAGACAGUAAUGCAGGCCUCUCUCUGUGAGGAAGAAGACGACUUAAAUGAAAGCACCACUAAACAAGACAUUGUCCAUAAUUUUGACCUCCUCAAGAAUAUCAACUGUGGAAAAGCUCCAUAGAUUUGCCUAUUAUGGGAAAAGCACAGAUUGCUUUUAGGACUGAUUAUGUCCUAGAGGGGCCAGAAAGGAGAAAAACCAUACAAAUUACCUGAAUGUGACCAAAACUAUGGUCACAACAGUUCCCUUGUGGUUCAUGGAAGUAUCACCACACAAGAGGGAAGUGCUCCCAAUGUAAAUGCUUUAGUGAGCAUGGCAACAUGGUGCUACAUCAGAUAACUCACAAGAGGGAGAAAACGUAUGACUGCAGAUUGUGAGAAAGUUACACUAGAAAUUCUCAGGUCUUGAGACACUAAAGGAUGCACACACAGGAAUAAAACCAUUUGAACAUCCUUUCUGUGGGAAAAGUUUCAGUGAGAAUUCCACUCUGGUGAAGCACCCAAGGACUCCCACAAAAGUGAAACCCUUUGAAUGUCAUGAUUGUGGGGG